GAAACAGGAAAACAAAAAUAAAGAAAAUAAAUGCACAAAACACAUGAGGCGUUUCCUAUACAUAGAGAAAUACUAAAACCGAUGAGGGAAGAAAUAUGGAAGACAAAAACUAGAAAUGAAAAUAGAUAAAGGAUAACAAAAAAAGAAAAAGAAAGAAUAACAGAACGAAAGUGCUGAAGCUUAGCAGAUCCCGCUUCGUGGCAGGGUGUUUAUACCGGUGAACCUCGAUGAGGGAGUUCGCUGGUUAGAUUUGCUAGGAGCGCGCUUGUUGUGUAUGGACUAAAAUACAUAGUAGGGGGACGGUCCAGCACGGAGCGUUUCAGACGUUCGUUUAUAAAAUACGUAGUAACGGGCACCUGAAUCGUUAAAGAGUUCGUCUAGAUCUUAGUCGACUUAGAGUUCGUGAAGUCUAAGUUGGUUAAGGUAGUCUAAGUUGGUUAACGUAAUUAUAAGCAGAUUAAGCCUGUUAACUAGCUUUCAUUUUGUUGGGUUGUAUCAGGCUUAAGUUCUGGGAUCUUUUCCUUCUCCUGGUUGUUUAUUUUAUCAUUUUGGUCUGGGAUUUUUACUUUGUUUGUCUGCAUCUGGAGGGCUAUGAAUUUGUUUGUUUUUCAUUUCACAUAUUUUAAAAUGCUAUUAAACGAAAAAAUACCACGAAUAGCAUAUCAUCUAAGCGCAUCCUCUUCUUCACCAAAAGACAUAUGCCUACAUUAUCUACGCACAUGCAUGAUAGAUUUCUAGAAAAAUAAUUUGCUAUACCACGUCAUCGUCGUAUCAAACUCCAUGUUAUACACAUCAUCUCAUCAAAAUAAAAAGAAAAAAAGAUUUGACGCAUGCAUCAAAUGCCCAAACAACCUCUUAUUUUUCCAUCCGCGUUCCCAUAGAUAAAACAAUCUUGCAUUCAGGACCCUAACAUUUCACAAUCAGCGUCCUUAAAGCUUUUGUUUCCUCACAAACAAGGAUAAAUUUUUGACAGGACGCGAGAAUUUCGGCUAGGAAUUGAGGCAGCAUAACACGUCGAAGAGAAACGCAUCCAUCCCCGUGUCAUCCUGCCCAUCGACAAAAAAACUCAAUUGUGGUUAGAUAUGUGGGCAUGCAGUUGUAGUCGGAAAAGACACUUGUGGUUGCAUGUCUUGUGUCACACAUGUAACUGCCUCCCUCCUCCACUCUCGUCGUCCACAAACAAAAGAAAAGGGUUAGUUGGCUGUAGGCAUGCAAUUUGCAUUCGGAGGUGACACUUGCACUUGUAUGUCUAAUGCACACAUGCAAGAAGCAGUGAGGGCGACACUUGCAGUUGCAAGCCUAAUUUGCCCGGCAUGCAACUACCCCCCCCCCCAUAUCUUCCCCACCCUCCGAUAAAAAGCACAAUUGCCCCACAUGCAACUACUCCCCCCCCUCAUCUCCCCGCCGCCCUCCAUGAAAAGCACAAGGACAGUUGCGUUGGGAGGGAGACGUGCAAUUACAAUCGAGGAUGACACGCGGAGCUACAAGCCUAGUGUAGUACAUGCGACUCCUCCCCCCUCUUGAUCCGCCCACUAACCAAACAAAAGGUUGGUUGCAGUUGGGUGUGUAGGCAUGCAGUUGCAGUCGAGGGUAACGCUUGAGUUACAAGACUAGUGUCUAAGAUGCAAAUGUCCUCCUCUCUCUCGCCCUUUGACAAAAAACACAAGUUGGGGAUAUACCCCACGGUAUGACCUAGACAGAAUAUGACCCAGUCACCAGUGGCGGCUCAUGAUGAGUAUCAAUGUAUGGGCCGCGGUUAACCAUGAAGUUCAAGGCCUAGGACGCGGCUUGAGUAGAAGGUCGGGUCGUGGUCCGAUAUCUCACAGGCCAACUCAUAAUCAAGAAGCAAGUCAUAAGGAGUUUUCCUUUACUUGAGAGACAAGAUGAGUAGGCAGUAGACUAAGGCACGGGUUGUAAUACAAACCGGACUCUCUCUCUCUCUCUCUCUGAGGAAUAGUUAUUCUUCACCCCCUUCAUUUUAAUAUCAAUGCAUCGUAAUUUUACGUUCCGUAAUUUUUUUACUUAUUCCAUACGUAAAAACACACCGUAAGAAAAUAUAUAAUCGUCGUAAAAAAUAUUUUUGUUACGUAAAAACACAGUGUAAAAGAUACAUAAAAUGCAUAUUUUCUUAUCUUACAGCCUAUAUUUUUAAAUUUUUGAUGCCAAAUUUUACAUAGUGGGUCAAUAUGAAUGUAACUAUUUGUAUUUUAAAUGUAAUUUAUUUAUGAAAAGCUCGUAAGAUUACCUCGGAUGAAGAAUAAACUAUUUUGCAUCCUGGGUGAUGAAUAAAAUUAUAUAUAUAUAUAUAUAUCAAAAAAGAAGAUGGAAAUUUGUAAAGAAAAAAUAAAUUUCCUUGGUCAUGAAAUAGGAGAAGGAAAAAUAUAUUUGCAAGAACACAUUGCAAAGAAAAUUUUAGAGUUUCCUGAUAAUAUGAGUGAUAAAAAAGUUCUACAACAAUUCUUAGGAAUUGUAAACUAUGCAAGAAAUUACAUAGAUAACCUAGCAAAGCUAGCCGGACCUUUAUAUGCUAAAUUAAGAAAGAAUGGUCAAAGAUAUUUUAAUUCUGACGAUAUAAAAUUAGUAAAGGCCAUCAAAGAAAAAGUCAAGAAUUUAAAGCCCCUAGAAUUGCCUCUAGAAGAUAAUUAUUUUAUUAUUGAAACAGAUGCAUCUAAAGUAGGAUGGGGUGCUAUAUUAAAACAAAAACCUAAUAAAUAUUCCCCAAAAGCAGAUGAAAAAAAUAAAGUUAUAAGUUAAAAACGGUAAAUAAUAUUGAUAGAGAAAUCCUCGCAGUUGUAAAUGCAAUAAAUGCUUUUAGGUUAUAUCUAGGAUUCAAAGAAUUUACAGUGCAAAUUGAUUGUGAAGCCAUAUGUCGAUAUUGUAAUAAAAUUAAUAGUAAGAAAAGUUCAACCAGAAGAUGGGUCUUAUUUGAAGACACCAUAGCUGGGAAUGGUUAUAAAGUUGUUUUUGAGCAUAUUAAGGGAAAAGAUAAUACCUUACCUGACAUAUUUUCUCGUGCACCAAAUUUGCAGAAAUGAAGAAAGGAUUAUUCCCCACCAGGGACGAAUGCUUCUUCUUUAGAGAGGAGAACAGGCUGAAGAUAUUUCAGCCAAAUACCUUCAAUUUCAAGCCAAAGGCCCAUAUCAAGCUUGAUGAAAUUCAGAGGUGCAUAUUGGACAAUUUCUGGUUCCAAUAUACCAAUAAGAGAGAUGAAAAAGGAUAUAUGCUAUCAAUUCUAAAUAGCUUGGCAGAAUAUUUUAACCAAAUGAAUAUGAAGGCGACAAAACUAGAAAGGGCUGAAAUACAAAAAGGAGAAAUAUUAUAUGUUUUGUUUGACGAAAAUAAACCCGAAAUAUAUUUGACAUGGGAAUACAUCAUGAUAGAGAAACUAGAUGCAAAACGAAUGGGACAAAACUUAACAUUCAAAAAAUAUGAAAGUAUUGAUGAUGCCUUGUUUUGGGCAAGAAAAGUGAUAGGGGAAAACUAUUAUAUUGACCCCAAGGCUAAAGAUUAUAUCCAGAAGAGAAAGAAUGGAGAUAACAAUGCAUCUAAUAUGCCAAUAUUUAAAAUUACAAAGGGGGGAUCAUCAGGAAAGAAUAUAAAGGAAGAAGGUUCUCCAAAAAAUUAUACAUAUAAGGAAUGCCUUCUGAAGGGCCUAGACCCUUUGGAUAGUGAAUAUAUAGAUCAAGAAAUGGACAAAAGAUUUGAAGAAUUGUCAAAAAUAAUGAAGAAAGAAUUAAAGGAAGAGAUAUUAGAAGAAAUAAGGGUUGAAAUGAAAAUAAGAUUUGAAGAUAUAAAGAAAGAAUGUGAUACGAAGUAUGAUUUCCAUCUCUUAGAUGAGGAUCAUAUGGAUAUCGCAGGGCAUGGGCAGCCACCUGAGUAAAACCCAACUUCAAAUGUCACUGAAUUUGAAUUGAUAUUACUAUCAAUUAUUCGGGCGCGGAGGACAUAUACCCCGACUGAAUACUGAUAGGAAUCUAGAAUCUUAAUGUAUAUUGAUAUGAAAUAUCAAUUAUAUGGGCAGGGAAGACCCCCCUAAAAAAAUGAAGCAUGUAUGCGUACGCAUACCAAUAGCCAAUGCACAAACAUGUGCAUGUUUACAGCCAAGUAUGCCCGCAUACACAUAUCAUCAGGCAGUGUACGGGCACAUGCAUAUCCAAAGAUUGUAAUAGUCUGAAGAUUAAAGUCCAAGACAAAAUCAUGACGAGAAGAAAAUCAAAAAAGAAGACAAUGCCACCUCCAUUGGCAGCCAAGAUACCAUGUGCAAACCUUUCCAACAUGCACUCAAUACCCUAGAAAGAAGGGCUAUAAUGGUUACAAAGCCUAUAAAGCCUAGAAGGCCUAAAAACUAGGUGCAUGAUGGACAAGGAGAAAGAAGGAGGAAAUAAUAGAGGAGCCUUCUCCUGGAAGCCAUCCAAGUGGUGCUCUCUUGCCUAUAAAAGGAGGAGUCUUGCUGUGAAGAGAGACACCAGACGGAGAAGAACCAGCCACAAAUAGAGCACAGAGUUGCAACGCAGCUAGCAAGCUCUUUGUUCAGUAGUAGUAGUAGUACUUCCUCAUCGUGUAAUAAAGAGCUACAAUAUUUAGAGUAGUUAGAAGGUAAUUUCUUUAUCCUUGUGUAAACCCUUCGGGGGUUCCCGAAAGGGAAAACCAUAUGUAAAUUAUGUUGCGGAAAUGAUGUAGUUUCGUGUUUUCACUUGGUAUUUUAUUUUUGAAUUUAUGGAACGAGUUCUUAUGCUAGGGAUCCUAUAGAAGAAAACUCUGCCGGUAGUUCUCUGUGUAGCCUUUUAUGGCAUUUGAAUGAGAACCUUAUGGCCGUAGAGAAGUGUUCCCUUCGGGUGGAACUGCCUGGGAAGACGAUAGGAAUUUACUCCAUAAAUUUGCAACUAAAACAUCAAGUGAACGAACUUAGCUACAUCUGAAACAACAUAAUGAUAAAUAUGGUGAGUACUGAGUAGGAUAUUACACCACUGCUUACACCUCAGUCGUCUUGUUGGCCUCGACAACCCCUCAAAGAUCCUGCAAUAUAAGCGAAAUAAUUUAAAAACACUUCGUAUUAAAAAUAAUAUAAAAAUAAAUAAAUAAGUUUGUAUUUACUUUAAUAACUCGUAUAGUAAUCACGUAUAUCAAUAUUAAAACCUGAAUUUAUAACUUAAUUUAGUUUAAAUUAAUUAAUAAUUUAAUUAUUUCGUAUAUUAUGAAAUAUCAAUUAUAUGGGUAGGGAAGACCCCCCUCAAAAAAAAUGUAGCAUGUAUGCGUACGCAUAUCAAUAGCCAAUGCACACACAUGUGCAUGUUUGCAGCCAAGUAUGCCCACAUACACAUAUCAGCAGGCAAUGUACGGGCACAUGCAUAUGCAAAGAUUGUAAUAUUUCUGAAGAUUAAAGUCCAAGACAAAAUCAUGAGGAAGAAGAAAAUCAAAAAAGAAGACAAUGCCACCUCCAUUGGCAGCCAAGACACGGUGUGCAAACCUCUCCAACAUGUACUCAAUACCCUAGAAAGAAGGGCUAUAAUGGCUACAAAGCCUAUAAAGCCUAGAAGGCUUAAUAACUAGGUGCAUGAUGGACAAGGAGAAAGAAGGAGAAAAUAAUAGAGGAGCCUUCUCCCGGAAGCCAUCCAAGAGGUGCUCUCUUGUCUAUAAAAGGAGGAGUCUUGCUGCGAAGAGAGACACCAGACGGAGAAGGACCAGCCACAGAUAGAGCACAGAGUUGCAACUCAGCUAGCAAGCUCUUUGCUCAGUAGUAGUAGUAGUAGUAGUAGUAGUAGUAGUAGUCGUAGUAGUAGUAGUAGUAGUACUUCCUCAUCGUGUAAUAAAGAGCUACAAUAUUUAGAGCAUUUGUAAGCUCGCGAAGGUAGUUAGAAGGUAAUUUCUUUAUCCUUGUGUAAACCCUUCGGGGGUUCUCGAAAUGGAAAACCAUAUGUAAAUUAUGUUGUGGAAAUGAUGUAGUUUCGUGUUUUCACUUGGUAUUUUAUUUUUGAAUUUAUGGAACGAGUUCUUAUGCUAGGGAUCCUAUAGGAGAAAACUCUGCCGGUAGUUCUCUGUGUAGCCUUUUAUGGCAUUUGAAUGAGAACCUUAUGACCGUAGAGAAGUGUUUCCUUCGGGUGGAACUACCUGUGAAGACGAUAGGAAUUUACNNNNNNNNNNNNNNNNNNNNNNNNNNNNNNNNNNNNNNNNNNNNNNNNNNNNNNNNNNNNNNNNNNNNNNNNNNNNNNNNNNNNNNNNNNNNNNNNNNNNNNNNNNNNNNNNNNNNNNNNNNNNNNNNNNNNNNNNNNNNNNNNNNNNNNNNNNNNNNNNNNNNNNNNNNNNNNNNNNNNNNNNNNNNNNNNNNNNNNNNNNNNNNNNNNNNNNNNNNNNNNNNNNNNNNNNNNNNNNNNNNNNNNNNNNNNNNNNNNNNNNNNNNNNNNNNNNNNNNNNNNNNNNNNNNNNNNNNNNNNNNNNNNNNNNNNNNNNNNNNNNNNNNNNNNNNNNNNNNNNNNNNNNNNNNNNNNNNNNNNNNNNNNNNNNNNNNNNNNNNNNNNNNNNNNNNNNNNNNNNNNNNNNNNNNNNNNNNNNNNNNNNCAAGAUAAAAUAAAAUACAUAAACCACAUAAAAUAUAAAUGCAAAUCGGUCAAAAUCUGUUUUAUCAUGAAAAUAAUUAAUCAAAAAUAUAAUGAACCGCACAAAUUGAGAAACGACAAAAAUAGGUAUACAAUUGAGAAACGACAAGAAUUUGUUCCACCAGCUGAUGAGUUGGACCCUACAACUCUUUUGUAUCCCAACAGUCUGCCUCGAUCGACUACUAGAAACUUGGACCAAGCUUGCCGUGGGUGGCAAAGUAGGUUUCAAGGAAUGGUGUGAUUUCUUUCACAAUCGUGAAGUGGACUCCUUUGCUAUCAAGAGUUUAGAAGAUCAACACUUGUAUAAUGUGGCCUUUUUUUCCAUAUGGCUUUGUCGCUACGUCAUUGUCUGUGGUGGGCCAUAUAUUCGUCCCGGGGUAUUAGUGAUGGCGUCCUGAAUUCCUUAGGAAGGCUCAUCUCUUUGUGACCACCCACUCUUUGCUCUCUUUAUUACUCACUUCGACAAAUUUGUACUCAUCCGAUCGGCCCCUAGUUCAUGUAUAGAAUUUUGCCGGUACACUACCUUGCUGGAUGGAUGGGUGUGUACCUCAGGAAACCAUAUGGAAAGAAAGUAAAAACACCACAUUUCCCGAGCUCUGAAAUCUUGGUAGUGGAACCCAAUAUGGUGAAAAUCAUGUUUAAGACACCGCAUCAAUUUUACUCCUGAAGAGGCCCAUGCCUUCCUCAAUGAUUAUAAGAAUGUUGCUUGGAACCCCUAUGCCCUGACUAAGGAAGGCGUGUUCAGACCCAAGAGAGCUUUUUUGAUUUCUAUUCGUCGGGGAAUGUUGCCGUGGAGGCGUGGUACUAUUACUGAUGACAUGUGUAUAGCCGAACCAUAUCACCCAGAUCGAGUGGCACGCCAAUUCCGUCUUGACCAAGUUGUACCCUUCUCUCGUGCCCCAAGCUCGGGAUGACCGUGUGGUAUGCCUAACUUUGCGAUCACUGGAUUGGCUACCUCACUAGUGUCUGGUUCAAAUAGGUGUAUUUAGGCCAACCGUGAUAGAGGCAUUCUACAUGAUUCAGACGAAGAUGGUGUCGUAGCUUCCUCCAUCUAUAUGAAAGGAAGAUAUUCAUGUCGGUAUAUGCAUGAAAUUAUAGAAAUUAAAUGAAUAGUACAUGAAAAGGCAGCAUCAAAAAUUUAUUACCAAAGUAGAAGUAAUGACCCAAGCAAGACGGCCUGUGACUCAGGACAAUUAGAGGUAGAAUCUGCAAUAAAAAUAAUAAUAAUAACAAUUCAAUAUUUAGAGUUGACACGCAAAAUAAAAAAAAGGAAUAUGAGAAAUUGGUAAUAUUUCUCAUACUCACUGUCGAACGACGGACAGAGCCCAUAUAUAGGCUCCCCGGAACGCCAACAACGAGCGGUUCACUAAUUCGUACAUAUAUAAUACACACACAAAAAAAGGGUUCACUGUCGAAUGACGGACCAAGCCCAUAUAUAGACUCCCCGGAAUGCCGACAGCGAGCGACUCAUUAAAUCAUACAUAUAGGGUAAAAAAAAAAUCUCCAUGGAACAACGGACCAAGCCCAUAUAUAGGCUUUCCGGGACGCCGACAGCGAGAAAGUCAUUAAGUCCACGCAUAUCCAAUAAAAAAAAUCUCUCUGUCGAACGACGGACAAAGCCCAUAUAUAGGCUUUCCGGGACACCGACAGCGAGAAAGUGAUUAAGUCCACGCAUAUCCAAUAAACAAAAAGAAUCGUGCUGUCGAACGACGGACCAAGCCCGGGUAUAGGCUUCCCGGAACGCCGAUCAUGAUAGGGUAUAGGCUUCCCGAAACGCCGACCGUGAGAUCAUGAUUUUUGUAUGAAUAGAUGCAGAUCAAACGCAUCAGGAGCCUCAUACAUCGAUGCAGGGAAUAUAGUGUACAUACAAGGCAUUGUGUCUUGGACACUAUUAUAGAGGCUGACAUAGAUGAAACGACAAAUAAAAGGAUAAUCAUACCGUCGGGAAAGCAAAUUAACCUAAAUCGAAUCUAUCCAAGUCUCGAAUCCAUGUAUCAGCAGGAAAAAAAGAAGUCGGACAAACAAAGGUGACGUCCUAAAUAUUGAGAGGCAGAUUCUUAAUGAGAAGCGAAGUUGAUCACACCUGAAGCUGGUUGAAAUCACCACUUGCCCCACGGAGGUGCAUCUCAUGAGGGAGUAAAAUAGAUCUGGGACGAAUGAAACAGCAAACCAAUUAACAUAUGAAUUAACUAGGUACUGGCAAAUUACAAUAUCAUAUGAAGGGAAUGAAGACGAAGCCUUAAUGCGUACGGCGGUACGGGGCUGCGGCCACAGUCUAAGCGGAAUAAAGUCUAACCUCGUCUCCGACGUUUUCUAGCUGAUCUGAGAAAGAAGGAUGCCGGUUGUUUAAAAGAGAGUUGAGGAGAUAGCGGACUGAGUUUGUUGGCCGGAUAGAGUUUGUUAGCUGGCUAACCCCAAACGUGGCCUGAUUUCUAGCUUGCAUGGUUGCAAAAUUAG
This 9050-nucleotide long non-coding RNA is filed under the name Hordeum vulgare. Its description in RNAcentral is "long non-coding RNA (HVUL_LNC008762)". Lineage: Eukaryota; Viridiplantae; Streptophyta; Magnoliopsida; Poales; Poaceae. The record is from RNAcentral.